GGUUAAGCGACUAAGCGUACACGGUGGAUGCCUAGGCAGUCAGAGGCGAUGAAGGGCGUGCUAAUCUGCGAAAAGCGUCGGUAAGGUGAUAUGAACCGUUAUAACCGACGAUACCCGAAUGGGGAAACCCAGUGCAAUUCGUUGCACUAUUGCAUGGUGAAUACAUAGCCAUGCAAGGCGAACCGGGGGAACUGAAACAUCUAAGUACCCCGAGGAAAAGAAAUCAACCGAGAUUCCCCCAGUAGCGGCGAGCGAACGGGGAGGAGCCCAGAACCUGAAUCAGCGUAUGUGUUAGUGGAAGCGUCUGGAAAGUCGCACGGUACAGGGUGAUAGUCCCGUACACAAAAAUGCAUAUGUUGUGAGUUCGAUGAGUAGGGCGGGACACGUGACAUCCUGUCUGAAUAUGGGGGGACCAUCCUCCAAGGCUAAAUACUCCUGACUGACCGAUAGUGAACCAGUACCGUGAGGGAAAGGCGAAAAGAACCCCGGCGAGGGGAGUGAAAUAGAACCUGAAACCGUGUACGUACAAGCAGUGGGAGCACCUUCGUGGUGUGACUGCGUACCUUUUGUAUAAUGGGUCAGCGACUUAUAUUUUGUAGCAAGGUUAACCGAAUAGGGGAGCCGUAGGGAAACCGAGUCUUAACUGGGCGAAUAGUUGCAAGGUAUAGACCCGAAACCCGGUGAUCUAGCCAUGGGCAGGUUGAAGGUUGGGUAACACUAACUGGAGGACCGAACCGACUAAUGUUGAAAAAUUAGCGGAUGACUUGUGGCUGGGGGUGAAAGGCCAAUCAAACCGGGAGAUAGCUGGUUCUCCCCGAAAGCUAUUUAGGUAGCGCCUCGUGAACUCAUCUUCGGGGGUAGAGCACUGUUUCGGCUAGGGGGUCAUCCCGACUUACCAAACCGAUGCAAACUCCGAAUACCGAAGAAUGUUAUCACGGGAGACACACGGCGGGUGCUAACGUCCGUCGUGAAGAGGGAAACAACCCAGACCGCCAGCUAAGGUCCCAAAGUCAUGGUUAAGUGGGAAACGAUGUGGGAAGGCAUAGACAGCCAGGAUGUUGGCUUAGAAGCAGCCAUCAUUUAAAGAAAGCGUAAUAGCUCACUGGUCGAGUCGGCCUGCGCGGAAGAUGUAACGGGGCUAAACCAUG
Molecule: ribosomal RNA, 1148 nt
Filed under: Yersinia enterocolitica
Lineage: Bacteria; Pseudomonadati; Pseudomonadota; Gammaproteobacteria; Enterobacterales; Yersiniaceae
Description: partial 23S ribosomal RNA
Rfam family: Bacterial large subunit ribosomal RNA
Source: RNAcentral